CGUCAUUGCGCCUGCGCAUUCCCUUGGAAUCGCCGGAUUUUCCCCCGGGCAGAGGGCCUGCUGGGUCCGGAAACUGCACUUCCCAGCAUGCCUUGCCGUAGCUGCGCCUGCGCACGGGAAGGACCCAGGCAGCGCGUUGGUUUGAAGCGCAGUCUUAGGUCCGCGGUAGCCUGACUGCAGAGCGAUGGACUGCGGGAGGUCAGUUGGAAACUCCAAACUAUUUAGAAGACUCUGCCAACCAGAAAGGCAUUCGUCCUAUCCCGAGUGAAGUCAUCCAUCCAGGAAAAACAGAUGUUUUAUGGCAGAACUGUGAGUUUCUGGUGAAUCGAAUGUGCCAUCUAGAAAGCCUCAUCCAGUCCUUGAAGAUGAACAUCUUCCGUCUGCAAGUGGAGAAGGAUUUGAAUCCACAGAAAACAGCUUUUCUGAAGGAUCGACUGAAUAUAAUACAGGAAGAGCAUUCCAGAGACCUGAAGCUGCUGCAUCUUGAAGUGAUGAACUUGUGUCAGCAACUGAGAGAUGUGAAAGAGGAGGAGGACAAGGCGCGGGAUGCAGUGCAAAGAUCGGCCGCCACUCUGGAAAUCGCCUCAGAGACAGCUCAGGAGAAGCACUUCAGGGAAUCUCUUGAGAAAUUGGGAUCAGCUAUGCUCCUUAAAAUACAAGAAAUGGGAUCCACAGUGGAGGGGGAACAGAAACAGGUGCACAUUUUGCAGCAAAACUGCCUGGCCUUGCGCAGUUCCAUACAGAGCACCCAAGAACUACUGGCACAGGAGCAGCAAAGAAAGGGAGAGUUGGAGACUGCUACCUCACAGCUCAAGACUGACCUGAGUGAGAACAUAGCUGCUGGAAGUCACUUUUGCUAGUGCUUUGAGAGUUCAUGUAACAGCUCUUUGGGGCCCAGGUUCUUGUAGUAGCCAGGGUUCUUGUAUUUCUCACAGUCCUGAAGGUAAAACAUUGCUGAUUUCUGUUCUAACUGUAGCACUGCAACAAACAUGAAUGUCGGUAUCCAAAAAAAUGGCCUCUUGGUUGUAAACUAUUUUAGUCCCUCUUCCCAUGCUUAUUGAGGUGUGGAUUUGGGAACAUUUGAUUUCUAGACAUCUGGCUUAAAUAUGAGAUAAACAAAAGUCAGGGAGUAAACUUUUAACUCUGGCUAACUUACUGAUUUUGUCAUUCAUCGUGUCAGACUCCAGUCUUCAGAGCAUCCACAUAUCUUGACUAACUUGUGGAGAUGGGUAUGUAAGGGACCUUGGUGAGAGCCUAGACUCCUCUGUUAACCAACAGAGUCCUCAGAGGUGACAUGGCCAGGAAAGGGGCGGGGUCCCGGGAUCACAUCCGGGUGCUCGGAGUCCAUCUUACUACUGCUUUGUUACAUCAUUUUAUUAUAUUUCAAGGCGGUUGCAGUGCAGAGCUUGCAGGCUUAUGUAACUAGCGCUGCAUUAUUUGCACACAGGUUUCACAUAAAUUAGUGCUCAAAGCUCCAUAGCCGUGCAGAGUUACAAGAGGAAGAAAUGGCAAAGUGAAGCCUAAACCUGGCUCUUCUAACUCCAAGCUUAGUGUUGCUUUCGUUUCACCGUUUCUACUCUGGUUAUGCUAAGGCAGGGGAUACCAAAAAGGAAAUGAAAAGUGCUGUGUACAAAAUAUGGAAGAAAGAGUAAACUGUUCAGUGUUGAUUUAGAUUGCUUUUGCAAAAAAUAGUGGACUCAUUUUCCUUAUAGUUGUUGGGUAGUGAUUUACUAUUGAAAUUCUCACUGCUAGUGUCCCGGGAUAACUUUGUCAUCUUCUGAUGAUAAGCCUACAAAAUGGUGUUACAUUUUAUGAUGCUUCCACACAUGAUCUUGUUUGAAUCUUGUCAGAAAGAUAGGGAAAUAAACCCACUAGAUAGAAGAAUACAAAGAUCUAGAUGGGCUGUGCCCAUGACCCUGUCUUAAUUACUUUUCUUGUUGCUGAGACAAAAUAUCUGACACCCACAGUUAAAGGAGGAAGGCUUUAUUGUAGCUCACAGUUGUAGAGGUUUCCCUUCAUAGUUGGCUGGCUCCGAGGCAGUGCUGCAUGGCAGAGGGCAUCACAGAGGAGAAACGGUCCAUGGCAUGGAAGACAGGAGGCAGCAAAGCAGCAGCAGUGAAGUGGUAGCAAAUAGCAAGCGACAACAGCCCCUCUUCUGUCCCUUUAUUAUAUUGAGGCCACACACCCUCAGGGCUGCUAGCACUCACACCCUGCAUGGGCCUUUACUGUGUGUGGUAGAAGAUCCCUACACAAAACGUUUAAGUGUGACCUUGUGUGCAAGUGACUGUGAGCUAGUGUCUUUGAUAAUUCCAUAACUUAAUUUCCAGUUUAUAAAAAUAUGAUAAAAACACGUAGGACAAGGAUACUUAGGUUCAUCUUGUUUUCCCCAAAAGAUAUUGUCUAUAAAAAUUAAAGCUUUAAAUGAGAAUCAAGACUUGCCAUGUAAAGGUACAUGAUCCCAACAAUGAAUGUAACUGUACUGAAAAAAAAAAAAAAAAAAAAAAAAAAAAAAAUUAAAGCUUUUGGGGGAGAAUACCAUGUUAUUUCAGUGUAGUAAGUAGUUGUCAUAGUUAUGUGGACCUUUUGUUUUUAGUUUCUAGGGAUGACCUCAUUUCGAAGCUGCUUGAAGAAAACAAGGUAGGUUUUCAGGUUCUAGAGUACAGAAGUGAUCUUUCGUCUCUUUAUUAGUAGUAGUAUCAUUUUCUUAUUUGUGUUGGUUUGCAAUGCUUGGGAUUCUCCCAACAGCUUUAGAAAAAAAAGUUUUCUAUAAAUAACUUCUAUACUCGGGCUGAUAGUAGGUAUUAAAAAGUAAUCAUUUCAGGGCUGGGGAUUUAGUGCAGUGGUUCUGCUGCCUACCUUGCAAGCACAAGGACCUGAGUUCGAUCCCUGGUACCAAAAAAAAAAAAAAAAAAUGUUGUAAUUUCAUGCAGGUUAUUAUAGUUUGAAAAUGUGAGGAAAAAUCAGAUAUUUGUGUUUUCUUGAUUAUAAAUUAUUAAAAGAAAUUUUAGUGAAACGUAAGACACAGCUACAUAUCAGUAGUGGCUGCACCAUAGUGUCUGUGUAUUUAAUGCCACUAAAUUGUACCCUUAAAAAAUAGUUAGGAUGUUAAGUUGUGUAGUUUAUCUUACCACAGUUUAAGAAAUGAAUGGGGUUUGGGGCACACCCUAUAAACCCACCACCCUAGGAGGCCAAGGCAGGAGUUUGAGCCUACCCUGGGCAACUUUGCAAGUUAGUGAGAUCCUGUCUCAAAAUUUAAAAAAUUGAAAGAGGGAGAGGGAAGCAGCUAGUGUGAAGGCUCUGGGUUUAAUCACCACUACUGCCAAAAUUAAAAAAAAAAUAUGUCUAUAGAACUACUUUAUACCUUAAUGCAUUUUGCAGUGGAAUAAUUUUUGUGGUUGCUGUCUCAUCCUGUCUUGGUGAUGUGUAUCUUUCUUGAGCAGCACCUGGUGGGAGAAUAGAAAAGUGGUUUUCUCUGUAAGAAGAGAAUUUACACCCUACCCUUGCCCAUCUCCCUAGAUUGCCCUUAAGGAAAGCCCGGCCCACAUCCCAUCACUGUCACCACCUCAGGGAACUAGUUUUGUUUUGUUUUUUGCAGACCAUAGGUGCUUUCUUCAGCUGCACCCCAGGUACCCUGUCUUCAUUACAACUUUAAAAGAUCUGUGAAUGUGUUCAUUUGAGACCACAAGCUCUACUGCUGAUAGGAAGAAAUGUGUAUGUAAUAUAAAUAUUUACCUCAGAGAGUAGAGCUUUCAUGAUAGGAAGAUACUAGUAAUAUUUAGGUUAUGUCAGGCAUAUUCUUUCUCAUCAGGACCCUAAUGUCAGAAUAGAUUAAUGAGUUUUUAAACAGACUGUAUUUUUAGAGCAGUUUUAGAUUCAGAGCAAAAUGUACACAGCCAAAGGCACGUGGAUUUCCUGCACUACCCCUGCUGCUCCAUGUGCAGUAAGCACCUGUCCGGUGGGUGCUGUGUGACAGUCGAGUCCACACAGACCACACGGAUGCAUCGUCAUCCAAGUCUGCGGUUGACAUCAGGCCUCCCUCUUGGCGCUUCCAUUCCAUGGGCUUGGACACAUCCACAGCAACACACAGCUCUACGACAGUGUCAUACUGAGUACUUUCACCACCCCAACCCCAUGUUCGCCUGUCUGUCCUCACCCCGCUGCCCUGGCACCACUGGUGCUUCCGCUGUCUCCUUAGCUUCAUCUCUCCCAGAAUGGCAUGUGCUUAGAAUCAU
RNAcentral lists this long non-coding RNA (4232 nucleotides) under Fukomys damarensis (Damara mole-rat). Its description in RNAcentral is "lncRNA (ENSFDAG00000032360.1)". Lineage: Eukaryota; Metazoa; Chordata; Mammalia; Rodentia; Bathyergidae. The record is from RNAcentral.